GGAUGCUGAAGGACCAGUCUCACUUGAAGUUCUGAGCUUGAGCAAAAAGGCUGACCAGCCUCUGGUUCCCAUACCGGUCAAGUGAUUGGAGUACCUUUCCAGUUUGCAAACAUCUGGGCAGACCCAGCUGGUAAGUUUACUUUUCUACUUUGACCAAGCAAACUGAAGCCAACAGAAGGGAACUUUCACCAGCAACUCCCAGCACAUCCUCUCGCCUUCUGAUGUCUGUGACCUCACUCUCACUGCCCCACCUCUUAUUACAGAUUGAACAGGAUCCAGGGGGAAUUACCAAGCCUGUUCCAUCGGACAUCCUGUGUGUCAUGUCCUGUGACCCAGUGGAUGCUCAGCACAUAAGUGAACCGACAGGAGUGAGUGAAGAGAUGGGAGCAUCUCAUUAUUGUGUUGGCUGCACUCUGUCCGAUGCCUUGAGAU
Non-coding RNA from Vicugna pacos (alpaca), 432 nucleotides. The record is from RefSeq and is a predicted model, not a curated record. NCBI's taxonomy places the organism in Eukaryota, Metazoa, Chordata, Mammalia, Artiodactyla, Camelidae.